UACGGGGGAUGCAAGCGUUAUCCGGAUUUACUGGGUGUAAAGGGGGCGCAGACGGCAGCGCAAGCCAGGAGUGAAAGCCCGGGGCCCAACCCCGGGACUGCUCUUGGAACUGCGCGGCUGGAGUGCAGGAGGGGCAGGCGGAAUUCCUGGUGUAGCGGUGAAAUGCGUAGAUAUCAGGAGGAACACCAGUGGCGAAGGCGAUUCUCUGGACUGUAACUGACGCUGAGGCUCGAAAGCGUGGGGAGCAAACAGG
This 253-nucleotide ribosomal RNA is filed under the name uncultured bacterium. Its description in RNAcentral is "partial 16S ribosomal RNA". It matches the Rfam family "Bacterial small subunit ribosomal RNA", at positions 524 to 776 of the family's 1533-position model. The record is from RNAcentral.